Molecule: long non-coding RNA, 956 nt
Organism: Cyprinodon tularosa
Lineage: Eukaryota; Metazoa; Chordata; Actinopteri; Cyprinodontiformes; Cyprinodontidae
Exons: 4
Source: RefSeq, a predicted model, not a curated record
ACAGAACAGAACUUUCCACAGUAUCCUGAUGUCAAUGCGAGUGUGUUCCCUGCAUUUUCAUUCUGGAAAACCAGCAAAUGAAAUGUACACCUCGCAUCCGGAUUGGGCACCAUCACUACACUUGGGCCACACUGAGAUAAAGGCCACACAGACUGCACGCUAUGAGAGACAGGAAAAGAGAAAACGGCAAAGGACUGACAGUACACCUGCGAGGAUGAGACAGCUAUUGAUGACCUUGUUCCACCCGUGGAGACACCAGCACCAGCUGAGGAUGGAGCUGAGCAGACACCGCUGACAGAAUGUGACUUCUGUCAGCGCCGGCGUGCUGAAAUCAACCGGCUGCUGGAGGAGAACAGGACCCUGAAACGUCUUGCACUCUCAGCGCAUUAAUGAGACUCCCCUGAAGCCAUGGGUCAUCAUUGCUGACGAUGGGCAGGUUUGCUGUGCACACUGUACAUGCAUGGCUGGAAUUGCAGAGGCAUGUACACAUGUUGGGGCUCUGCUGUUUAAGAUUGAGGCAGCAGUCCGCAUCCGUGGGAAAAAGACUGUGACAGAUGUGCCAGCUUAUUGGAAAAUACCAGCAGGUAUCAACAAAGUCAGCGGUGAAGUCGCCCACAAGAUGGACUUCACUUCAUCCAAAGUGCAGAGGAUUGCUCUGGACAGAGUCAUCGAUGACAACAUUCCCAUGCCUGGCCUACGGACACGGGCCAGCAGACGCACUGCCCAAGCCACAUUGGACGACUUAUCGUCAAUGUUCCCUGUUCUUCAGAACCAUAGGUCAGUUUGUAUGUCCACAGUGAAGCCCUACUUUCACAACUAUGCUGCUCCUGUCCAGCCAGCUGUGAUCCCAAAACCCCUGCAAGACCGUCUGCGCGACCCAAAGUUUGAAAAUGCUCCACCAGCUGUCCUUCUCCAGCACUGUGAGACAGUGAAAGACAUUGCAGCUGCAUAUUAUU